This 631-nucleotide ribosomal RNA is filed under the name uncultured bacterium. RNAcentral's name for it is "bacterial SSU rRNA". It matches the Rfam family "Bacterial small subunit ribosomal RNA", at positions 219 to 865 of the family's 1533-position model. The record is from RNAcentral.
UAUGGGAUGGGCCCGCGUCUGAUUAGCUAGUUGGUGAGGUAACGGCUCACCAAGGCGACGAUCAGUAGCCGGCUUGAGAGAGUGACCGGCCACAUUGGGACUGAGACACGGCCCAAACUCCUACGGGAGGCAGCAGUGGGGAAUAUUGCACAAUGGGGGAAACCCCGAUGCAGCGACGCCGCGUGAGUGAAGAAGUAUUUCGGUAUGUAAAGCUCUAUCAGCAGGGAAGAAGAAAGACGGUACCUGACUAAGAAGCCCCGGCUAACUACGUGCCAGCAGCCGCGGUAAUACGUAGGGGGCAAGCGUUAUCCGGAUUUACUGGGUGUAAAGGGAGCGUAGGUGGUGUGGUAAGUCAGAUGUGAAAGCCCGAGGCUCAACCACGGGACUGCAUUUGAAACUAUCAUGCUAGAGUACAGGAGAGGUAAGUGGAAUUCCUAGUGUAGCGGUGAAAUGCGUAGAUAUUAGGAGGAACACCAGUGGCGAAGGCGGCUUACUGGACUGUAACUGACACUGAGGCUCGAAAGCGUGGGGAGCAAACAGGAUUAGAUACCCUGGUAGUCCACGCUGUAAACGAUGAAUACUAGGUGUCGGGGGUCAGAAGACCUUCGGUGCCGCAGCAAACGCAAUAAGU